Molecule: ribosomal RNA, 497 nt
Filed under: uncultured bacterium
Lineage: Bacteria
Description: partial 16S ribosomal RNA
Rfam family: Bacterial small subunit ribosomal RNA
Source: RNAcentral
GAUGAACGCUGGCGGCGUGCCUAAUACAUGCAAGUCGAGCGAACAGACGAGGAGCUUGCUCCUUUGACGUUAGCGGCGGACGGGUGAGUAACACGUGGAUAACCUACCUAUAAGACUGGGAUAACUUCGGGAAACCGGAGCUAAUACCGGAUAAUAUAUUGAACCGCAUGGUUCAAUAGUGAAAGACGGUUUUGCUGUCACUUAUAGAUGGAUCCGCGCCGCAUUAGCUAGUUGGUAAGGUAACGGCUUACCAAGGCAACGAUGCGUAGCCGACCUGAGAGGGUGAUCCGCCACACUGGAACUGAGACACGGUCCAGACUCCUACGGGAGGCAGCAGUAGGGAAUCUUCCGCAAUGGGCGAAAGCCUGACGGAGCAACGCCGCGUGAGUGAUGAAGGUCUUCGGAUCGUAAAACUCUGUUAUUAGGGAAGAACAAAUGUGUAAGUAACUAUGCACGUCUUGACGGUACCUAAUCAGAAAGCCACGGCUAACUACGUG